AGGACGAACGCUGGCGGCGUGCUUCACACAUGCAAGUCGAGCGGUGAUCCACUUCGGUGGUGAUCAGCGGCGAACGGGUGAGUAACACGUGAGCAAUCUGCCCUCGACCCUGGGAUAACUAUGGGAAACCGUAGCUAAUACCGGAUACGACCACCGACGACAUCGCCUGGUGGUGGAAAGCUCCGACGGUCGGGGAUGAGCUCGCGGCCUAUCAGCUUGUUGGUGGGGUAAUGGCCUACCAAGGCGACGAC
RNAcentral lists this ribosomal RNA (251 nucleotides) under uncultured bacterium. Its description in RNAcentral is "partial small subunit ribosomal RNA". It matches the Rfam family "Bacterial small subunit ribosomal RNA", at positions 26 to 280 of the family's 1533-position model. The record is from RNAcentral.